GUCUGUAAGAGACUACUCAUAAGGAUUGUAUUAUAAGAAGCUGUAUAAUAUUAUCUUUAUUCCUCUGGAGUUAAUGCGGCCAAUGAGUUCUGACGGCGUUUUUUGAGGCACUGAUAAGGCAUGAAACAAAGACAUGUGAGCCACAAUAAAUGUCUGUUGAAACCAAA
Trichomycterus rosablanca is the source of this 167-nucleotide long non-coding RNA. RefSeq lists it as uncharacterized. The record is from RefSeq and is a predicted model, not a curated record. The transcript has 2 exons. Lineage: Eukaryota; Metazoa; Chordata; Actinopteri; Siluriformes; Trichomycteridae.